This 253-nucleotide ribosomal RNA is filed under the name uncultured bacterium. Its description in RNAcentral is "partial 16S ribosomal RNA". It matches the Rfam family "Bacterial small subunit ribosomal RNA", at positions 524 to 776 of the family's 1533-position model. The record is from RNAcentral.
UACGUACCGGACAAACGUUAUUCGGAAUUACUGGGCUUAAAGAGUGCGUAGGCGGCUUUGAAGGUGGGGUGUGAAAGCCCACGGCUCAACCGUGGAAUUGCGCUCCAAACCGCAAGGCUUGAGGAAGACAGAGGUGAGCGGAACUGAUGGUGGAGCGGUGAAAUGCGUUGAUAUCAUCAGGAACACCCGUGGCGAAGGCGGCUCACUGGGUCUUAUCUGACGCUGAGGCACGAAAGCUAGGGGAGCGAACAGG